Molecule: long non-coding RNA, 3932 nt
Filed under: Phoenix dactylifera (date palm)
Lineage: Eukaryota; Viridiplantae; Streptophyta; Magnoliopsida; Arecales; Arecaceae
Description: long non-coding RNA (PDAC_LNC009695)
Source: RNAcentral
AUCCAAGCCCUCUCUUCCUUUCUCCAAGAGACUGGGACCUCUCUCAGCAUGUCUCUCCCUCUCUCCCCCCUACCUCUCCCUCUCUCUCCCCCUCUUCCUCCAUCGCCCUCUCCCUCCCUCCUCUCUUUUGUCUCUCUUCUUUUUCCCUCUCCCCCUCCAUCAUCUGAUUUCUUAAACUGAGGAGCGGAACCAAGCCAUUUCACCCUCAAUAAAGUCCGAUACACCCUGAACUGGGCAGUUCAGGAUGCUACCAUCUUCCUUGAUCAAAACCUUAUCUAUCUACUUGAAUUAUGUCUUCUUGUUGAAAAUUCUCAAACAUCUCACACCAAAGAAAGCAAAUAAAAGACUAAAAAAAUUGCAAGCAUUGACAACAUGCAUAAUCAAACCUUUAAGGUUCGAAAUUCAGAUAUGGAAAGAUUAGAUAAUGCUCAUAUUCAAACAAGAUUACUCACACAUCAAGAAAGGGGUAAAAAAAUCUUCAGAUUAUUUGCAAAGAAACUUUGCCUCAGAAUAUUUUGAGAUAAUACUGACAUUAAAAAUCUCUCAAGUACUUAACCAAGAAAUUAAGGCAAGAAAUUGAAGAUAUAGUGUUUGGUGAUCAAGCUCGUUGGCAACUAUUUCAAGUGAUGAAGCAUGUGGGCCCAAUGAGACAAUAGUUUAAUAGAUAAUAUCGGGAUAUGUCUAUCUUCUAUGUUGUGGAUGUGGCCUAUUCAAAGGAGGCAAUUAGUUGUAAUCUCUUCUUAAAAAUUUACUAGGAAACCAUAAUGAAGUCAAACAAAGACAGUAAAGUCUUAUAAAGUAGCUAGACUUUCUUCGCUCAUCAAUCAUAUUACAAAAUUUAAUUACAAGCACACAAAUAUUAUCUCUCAAAGAAAAAAAUUAAUUUAUGUUAUUUUUUCUUGUUCAUCUCUGUUAUGUUCAAGUUUCAAAUCCUUCCAAAAAAGGAUUGCUGGUGUUAGCAAAACCACAAGUGCAGCGGCAAUCAAGCUUACUAAAACUAGGAAACCCUUACUUCUGUCAAAGGAGUCCAGUAAUUGGACUUUGGUGGUGGAUAGUCAAAGUAUAUCAAGUUGUGUAAAUGUUUUUCGCAUUAAUUUUGUUAAAGAUUCAGAUGCUACUACAGAUGUUGUCUUUUUCAAAAUAAAUAAUCAAUUCCUUCUUCAAGCUUCAAAAGUACGAUGGAAAUUAUUUUGUCAAUUAUUACAUGUCGAAUAAAAGUCAUCUCUAUAAAUUUUUACCAUCGCUUAUCAAUCCAUCAUCGUAAUUACCCUUAUAUAAAUAGCUAAAUAUUUUAUUCUGCACUGAUCAGGGAGUGCAAAAGCCUGGUGACAAUAUUUAUGACUUGUUAACAUGACACUUGCUUAAGACUAUGCUAGCAAUCAUGCAAGGGCUUAAGACCGUAUGCGUCAUGCAACUCCUGAUGAAUUAAAAUCAGUAUACUUAAAUUAUGUUAUUAAUCAUGAAAGGAAAUGGGGCUGCAUAUGCUCAGCACCACAUAAAGGAUUAUAAUCAGUAUACUCAAGUUUGCAGCUAAAUUCUUAGACGUAAAUAGCCAAGCUUUAUGUCCUAAAUAUCUUGAGUUAUUCAUCAUAACUACAGUCCAAUACAUCUCACAAUUCUAAAAUAUCUAUGAUGAUGAUCAAUAAGAGUGCUAAUAUGCCACCCCAUAUCAGCUCUGAAUAGUUAAGAAUAGGAAUGAGAUCUGAUCUAUGGGAUGUGGAGAACAUAUUCUGCGGCAAAUUCCAUUUUGCCCUGCCACAAGUAUGGCUUGUGUGCUGCUUUAUAAAUAUUGGGAUUUGGAGGGUUAUAACAAGGAAACAUAUCUUUAUUUUCAUAACAAUUCCCUUCAUCCGGAAUGCUCUUUCAUACUAAUCAUAAUUUGACAAUAGUACCAGAUCUUCAAAAUUUCCCAUGUGAUUUCACCUACUCUUGAAAUAUAAAUAUCAAAACCUUGUCUAUCUACUUGAAUAAUGUCUAUCAACAACACUUGAAUAGAUAUAUUGGGAUAUGUCUAUCUUCUAUGUUGGGGAAUUAGCCUGUUUAAAGGAUGCCAUUAGCCGUAAUCUCUUCUUAAAGAUUUAUUAGGUAACCAUAAUGAAGUCAAACAGAGAUAGUAAAGUCCUAUAAAGUAGCCAUACUUUUUUGCUCAUCAAUCAUAUCACAAAAUUUAAUUACAAGCACAUGGAUAUUAUCUCUCAAAUAACAAAAUUAAUUCUGUUAAUUUGUCUUGUUCAUCUCUAUUAGGUUCAAUUUCUCAUCCUUCCAAAAAAGAUUACUUGUGUUAGUAAAACCACAAGCACAGUGGCAAUUAAGCUUACUAAAACUAGAAAUAUCCUUACUUCUGUUAAAAGGGUCUAGUAAUCGGGUCUUGUGGUGGAUAGUCAACAUAUAUUUUGUUAAUGUUUUGCUCCAUAAUUUUUUUAAAGAUUCAGAUGCUACUACAGACAUUGCUUUGUUCAAAAUAAAUAAUCCAUUCUUUGUUCACGCUUCAAAAGUAUGAUGGAAAUUAUUUGUCAACUACUACAUGUCUAAUAAAAGUCAUCUCUAUAAAUUUUUAGCAUCACUUAUCAAUCUAUCAUCUUAAUUACCUUUAUAUAAAUGGCUUAAUAUGUCAUAAUUCAUCGAUCAUGGAGUGAAAAAUCCUAAUGACAAUAUUUAUGACUUGUUAACAUGACAUUUGAUUAAGACUAUGCUAGCAAUCAUGCAUGGAGAUAAGGACAUACAUGUCAUGCAACCUCUGAAAAAUUAAAAUCAGUACUUAAAUUACGCUAUGGAUCAUGGAAGGNNNNNNNNNNNNNNNNNNNNNNNNNNNNNNNNNNNNNNNNNNNNNNNNNNNNNNNNNNNNNNNNNNAGCUUUAAGCCCUAACUAUCUUGAGUUAUUCAUCGUAAUUACAGCCCCAUACAUCUCACGAUUCUGAAAUAUCUAUGAGGAUUAUUAAUAAGAGUGUUAAUAUGCCACCCCAUAUCAUCUCUGAAGAGUUAAGAAUUUGAAUGAGGUCCGAUCUAUGGGACGUGGAGAACAUAUUAUGCAGCAAAUUUUCCAUUUUUCCCUGCCACAAGUCUCCUUUUUGUGCUGCUUUAUAAUUAUUGGGGGGCUAUAACAACGGCAACAUAACUUCAUUCUCAUAACAAUUCCCUUCAUCUGGAAUGUUCAUACAUAUUAAUCAUAAUUUGACAGAAAUAGUACCUGAUCUUCAAAAUUUUCCCUGAGACUUCAGCUAUUGUUGCAAUAUAAAUAUCAAAACCUUGUCUAUCUACUUGAAUCAUGUCUUCCUGUUGAAAAUUCUCAAACAUCUUACAUCAAACAAAGCAAAUAAAAGAAUAAAACAAUCGCAACCAUUAACAGCACACAUAACUAAAAAUUUAAAUCCCGAAUAUCAGAAACAGAAAGAUCAGAUGAUGCCCGUAUUCAAACAUGAUUACUCACACAUCAAUAAAAGGGUAACAAAUCUCCCAGAUUAUUCGCAAAGAAACUUUGCCUCAGAUUAUUUCGAGAUAAUUUUGACAUUAAAACUCUCUUGAUUACUUUAACCAAGAGAACAAGAGAAGAAAUUGGAAAAAAAAAAUCUCCAAGUUCUGCAAAAAAAAAAGAGAGACUUUGGAGGAAAUUACAUACUUUCUCUACGCCCUUUCCACUUUCAAGAAUUCAAACUGCCUGAAAUCUCAAAAGGAAAAAUCCCUCAACGCACCAAAGAAAAUAAUUAGAAAAACAAAAACAUAACUUUUUUCCCCAACAAGUCACCUUUCCUUCUCCCCUCCUCUCGACCUCUUCUCCAACCAUCAAACCAUUCUAGAGCAUCACCAAGGACAUAAGUUAACAUUGAUAAAACCACUAAAACCGAAAUUCACCAAAUAUAAGAGAUCUUUAGACACCAAAAAGGGAAUAAAAUCACAAAAACCUUAUAAUUUUUGCUUUCCCCGAUUCCCCCCCC